CAGCCGCCACGGGAAUACGAAGGGGGCUAGCGUUGCUCGGAAUGACUGGGCGUAAAGGGCGCGUAGGCGGUUUGUACAGUUGGAUGUGAAAUUCCUGGGCUUAACCUGGGGGCUGCAUUCAAUACGUGCAGGCUUGAGUGUGGAAGAGGGUUGUGGAAUUCCCAGUGUAGAGGUGAAAUUCGUAGAUAUUGGGAAGAACACCGGUGGCGAAGGCGGCAACCUGGUCCAUUACUGACGCUGAGGCGCGAAAGCGUGGGGAGCAAACAGGAUUAGAUACCCCAGUAGUCCCUGUCUCUUAUAC
RNAcentral lists this ribosomal RNA (301 nucleotides) under uncultured bacterium. Its description in RNAcentral is "partial 16S ribosomal RNA". It matches the Rfam family "Bacterial small subunit ribosomal RNA", at positions 509 to 807 of the family's 1533-position model. The record is from RNAcentral.